AUGAUCUAUUCCGCUCCAGAUUGGCCCACCCUUGAUGAGGUUGUAUCUAGUGUUCUUGAAGAGGAGACUCGGUUAUCAAACCACGUCAUGACCCCACAUGCAAGUGUUGACACUCGUGUUGCUCUCUCUUCACAUGCUCAUGCUACAUCUUUUGUUUCUUCUAACAAUGAUCAAGCAAAUUCUACUGAGUUUGAGUACAGGAGGAAACCAGAGGUAGUAUGUGAUCACAUCAAGCAAACUGGCCACAUAAAGAAGAAUUGUUUUGACCUGAUUGGAUAUCCACCUGGGUGGCAACAACGACAUGGCCGGCUCAAGUUUGGUGAUGCCCGAGGGAAGAAGCAAGAUCAUGUGCAUCUCGCUUCAUCCACAAGUGAAUUAUCAGCGGCAACUGCACAAGCUCUCGAGGAAUUUAAAUCAAAACUCUUAGCUGCAUCCAAUGAAGCUCCUAUUGGCUCUAUGUCCAGUUACCAUGCAUCUCAAGGAACUAAAGAUAGGGAAGGUACUUGGGACUGGCACCGAGCGUGA
Molecule: ribosomal RNA, 525 nt
Filed under: Triticum aestivum (bread wheat)
Lineage: Eukaryota; Viridiplantae; Streptophyta; Magnoliopsida; Poales; Poaceae
Description: partial small subunit ribosomal RNA
Source: RNAcentral